GAAGUCCCUGGCGGCCUCCCAAACCCAACCCACUAAGCCAUCACCCCAAACCCUGCACCUGCCCUGCCUCCUCCGCUGAUCUGCCCCCACUCAGUCCCGGCCGUGCUGGGACGAGUGGGCUCAAGCUGCCCACAGGAAGGCCUGGCUGCCCACAGGGGCCCCUCUGCAGCAGCCCCCCUGCAGCCCUCCACGCACCUCCCUCGGGGCCAUGGGUGCACCCCCCCCACCAGGAGACCGAGCAGGGGGAGAGACCAGCCCCAGUGCUGUAUGAGCCCUUCUGGCUCCCUGCUCUGCUCAGGCUCCUUCGGCCAAAUCCAUGUGUUUGCUGGUACGUGGUGCCCACGGACUCAGAGAGCAAAUACGACAGUCCGAAGCGCACUGCAAAGCUGAAGGAUCUGGGGGCAGUUCUCAUGGUUUGGUCAAAGGCGAUCUGGACUCUCACGACCAAGCUUUAUGCUCUUCGUGGAAUCGCAACCUGACGAGGCCCCUCAGAUUCUCACACGUGGACACUUGAAGGGCCAGGUCGCAUCUUCUCCAGGUCUCAGACAUCAGCGAUUUGAAAUGGAGUCACUCAGCCCUUUGCAUCGACGAGGUGACAGAAGGGACAAAGGUAAGAUCUGCGAAUUUAUGAAGCUUCUUGGCUCAGGGGCUUGGGCAGGUGGACAGGCCAGCGGCUGGGAGGGAGGGGGGCGUGGGGUGGGGUCCUGCUGGGCCCCGCCCCCGCCCAGCUCAGGCCCCGCCCUCCAAGUGCUCUCAGAAGACCUGGCGGCACAGCUGUUCCUCUCCCGUCUGCGUUUAUCGUUUCCUCUCACUUAAAUCAUAGCUCUUGAGUCCUACUACGUGCUAAGGGCACACACACUGGGACACCCGGUGCUCUGGAGCUUUGCCGAC
This 891-nucleotide long non-coding RNA is filed under the name Sus scrofa (pig). RNAcentral's name for it is "lncRNA (ENSSSCG00055027442.1)". Lineage: Eukaryota; Metazoa; Chordata; Mammalia; Artiodactyla; Suidae. The record is from RNAcentral.